UGGGGAGAGGGUGUGGCUCAGUGUCAGAACAUCUGUUUAGCAUGCAGAUGUUCCCAGGUUCAAUUCCUGGCAUCUCAA
RNAcentral lists this transfer RNA (78 nucleotides) under Sphaerodactylus townsendi. RNAcentral's name for it is "tRNA-Ala". It matches the Rfam family "tRNA". Rfam says of the family: Transfer RNA (tRNA) molecules are approximately 80 nucleotides in length. Lineage: Eukaryota; Metazoa; Chordata; Lepidosauria; Squamata; Sphaerodactylidae. The record is from RNAcentral.